UGUUACACAAAAACAGUGAAUGGUUGAAUCAAGUGAGUUGUGUUCAGACUGUGGUAAAACUACAGUAAGUUUAACUCCCAUCUUGAUGUUUUCUACGGAGACAUUGAAUGACAAACACAUCUGUGUUGUGGACCAAAAAAAAGCAAGCCACUCCUAAACAGAACCUCUGAUCACCACUAUUGCUGUGGUAAAAAACAGUAUCACAGCACAACUCAAAGCUGCUGUAACGUAAAAGGAAGUCUUGGUGAGUUACAAGAACCAAACACAUUGUGUUUAUUAUUGUCCAUAAUUGUUUUUGCUGCUUCGCACCAGAUUCCAGAGAGAUUGUGACCUCUGAACUCAUUUAACCAGACAUUAUGUACAAACGUGUCACAGUGUCGUGAGUUUAAAUAGUAACAUUAACAUUAGUUACAGUAGCAAUAUGUUCAGAUUGAGGUAGAAGUGAGUUUAACUCCCAUCCUGAUCUUUUCCACAGUGAUAUUAAAUGACAACGGACAUCUGUGUUGUGGACCAAAAGAUAACAAGACAGUCCUCAACAGAGCCUCUGAUCACCACUAUUGCUGUGGUAAAGAACAGUAUGACAACAGAAAUCAAAGAUGCUGUCACGUUAAAGGAAGUCUUGAAAUACUGAAUAACAGCAAACAGCUGUGUUGUGGACCAGAUUAUGACAAGACCGUCCUGACCAGAACCUCUGAUCACCACUAUUGCUGUGGUAAAGAACAGUAUGACAACAGAAAUCAAAGUUGCUGUCACGUUGAAGGAAGUCUUGGUGAGUUACAAGAAUCGAACAUAUUGUAUUCAUUAUUGUCCAUAAUUAUUAAUGCCACAGUUAAACACGGAUGUCUAUAUCAAAACCUGAUCUCAAAACCUGAUU
RNAcentral lists this long non-coding RNA (874 nucleotides) under Betta splendens (Siamese fighting fish). Its description in RNAcentral is "lncRNA (ENSBSLG00000007096.1)". Lineage: Eukaryota; Metazoa; Chordata; Actinopteri; Anabantiformes; Osphronemidae. The record is from RNAcentral.